RNAcentral lists this ribosomal RNA (324 nucleotides) under uncultured bacterium. RNAcentral describes it as "bacterial SSU rRNA". It matches the Rfam family "Bacterial small subunit ribosomal RNA", at positions 28 to 334 of the family's 1533-position model. The record is from RNAcentral.
GAUGAACGCUGGCGGCGUGCCUAACACAUGCAAGUCGAGCGAAGCGCUUUAUCUGAUUUCUUCGGAUUGAAGGUUCAGUGACUGAGCGGCGGACGGGUGAGUAACGCGUGGGUAACCUGCCUCAUACAGGGGGAUAACAGUUAGAAAUGACUGCUAAUACCGCAUAAGACCACAGCACCGCAUGGUGCAGGGGUAAAAACUCCGGUGGUAUGAGAUGGACCCGCGUCUGAUUAGCUGGUUGGUGGGGUAACGGCCCACCAAGGCAACGAUCAGUAGCCGGCCUGAGAGGGUGGACGGCCACAUUGGGACUGAGACACGGCCCAA